UUGGGGGUGACCCCAAAUCUGAAGGAAGCCAUCAGCAAAGUCAUAGUUCUAACGUACAGAAAUUUGAUAUAAGGCUCAAUAGUGUUGGGCAACCGAGCAAUGGAUUGGGAAAGCCCCAAAGUCAACCGUAAACACUUAGGGUAAAUCAAGUAGGACGUGAUGAAAGUAUGUUAC
Molecule: non-coding RNA, 174 nt
Filed under: Saccharicrinis carchari
Lineage: Bacteria; Pseudomonadati; Bacteroidota; Bacteroidia; Marinilabiliales; Marinilabiliaceae
Source: RNAcentral